ACUUGCUGUGGAAAAGGCAUUU
Molecule: microRNA, 22 nt
Filed under: Gallus gallus (chicken)
Lineage: Eukaryota; Metazoa; Chordata; Aves; Galliformes; Phasianidae
Description: gga-miR-6714-3p
Source: miRBase by way of RNAcentral